GUUGUUGCGGUUAAAAGCUCGUAGUUGGAGUUCUGCCAGGUGACGCUCGUCCGCCCAGGUGGUGUGUACAGGGCGUGCAUCUGGCCCCUUCAAGGGGAACGUGUUGCACUUUAUUGUGUGGCGCGAGAUCCUUGACUUUUACUUUGAGGAAAUAAGAGUGUUCCAAGCAGGCUCUCGUCGUGCAUAGCUCAGCAUGGAAUAAUAGCAUUGGACUUCGUUUCUACGCUGUUGGUUGCAAGAAGCGAGGUAAUGAUGAAGAGGGAUAGUUGGGGGCAUUCGUAUUUAACUGUCAGAGGUGAAAUUCUUGUAUUUGUUAAAGACGGACUACUGCGAAAGCAUCUGCCAUGGAUGUUUUCAUUGAUCAAGAACGAAAGUUAGGGGAUCGAAGACGAUCAGAUACCGUCCUAGUCUUAACUAUAAACCAUGCCGGCUAGAGAUCGGAGGUCGUUCAAUUUGUGACACCUUCAGCAUCUUGAGAGAAAUCAAAGCCUUUGGGUUCCGGGGGGAGUAUGGUCGCAAGGCUGAAACUUAAAGGAAUUGA
This 541-nucleotide ribosomal RNA is filed under the name uncultured Syndiniales. RNAcentral describes it as "SSU rRNA". It matches the Rfam family "Eukaryotic small subunit ribosomal RNA", at positions 609 to 1156 of the family's 1831-position model. Lineage: Eukaryota; Dinophyceae; Syndiniales. The record is from RNAcentral.